UCAAUAAGUGAAUCACUCUUAGGUAAUUUUCCGUUGUUUCAUUUCGGGAUUUCUCAUUAACUAUUUAUAUUGAACUUUGUGUUCUAUACAACCUGCUUUUUUUAUUGCUGUAUUUGCCACCAAAGAGUUUAUGGGCGUCCAACCAGGUAAUGCUGGUGAUGGGAAGCUGCCAGCAAUUGAGGUUUCCUCUGGGCCAGUAGAGUCUAAAAGUUCAAGCCUUGUAGAUGCAGUACUUUGUUUUGUUGUAAAUUCUGACAGUCAUAUCAAUAACAAACCCUUUGUGCUUCUUAAUGUACUCAACUUUUUAAAGGCAUUGUGGCAAAGGGCGGCUCAAUAUAUCAAUAUAUUGGCUAGGUUGAAAAGCUUUGAGAAGUUCUGGAAGCAAUUGUCAAAAUGCAUUUCACUAACUUCUCUGGAUUCUUUGCCUGAUAGCCUGACUGAGAUGGAAGCUCUAAAUCUGGCAUACAAAUAUCAGUGUCAAUCUUCCAUAAUGGAAAUAAUGGCAUAUGACAUGUUUUUGCAAAAUAAAUUGUCACGGGUGGAGUCACUAGAAAAACCAGCACCCGAGUCAAAGGGAAGGGUGGAAAAUUCAGGAGGCAUUGAUAAAACAAAAGCUGCAAAUCUAUAUGAUCAUAGAGAUGUUUUAUCAACGUGAUGUCAGGGCUCUGUUUUGGUCAAUCUGAUCAAGUCACUUACUACUUAUGAAUAUGAUAACAAAUCAUUUUAUCAUGGAGAGGUUUCUGCCAGUUUAGUCACGGUGUAUUUAAUUGAGAAAUUAGCUACUGGUGAUACUAGAAGUUUAUCUGUAUCAAUACUUCAGAAGAUGAGCACCAUGUCUAAAAAGUGCCACUUGGCCCAAGUUGGGUCAACACCAUAAGAGAGAAUGAGUGGACCCAGAUCUACUUUAUGUAUGUGAAGGGAAGGAACUAAAUAAUUUGAUACUAAGUGAUCUUUAUUAUCAUCUAGAAGGAGAGCUUGAAGGUUGUAAAAUAAGCACUGGACCAUUUAAAGAACUUUCUGAAUACCUGGUUGAUUCAAAAGUUAUGCACAAUUACCAACAUAAGUAUGACAAUGACUUUCUUGUAACUUGCAAAGAUGUGUACCUGUUUGAUCCUGAGCGUGUAUGGGCUGAUUUGGGAUCUGAUCUUUGGGACUAUCUAAAGUGGAAAACAUCUAAAGAGAUCACAAAAAGAAUGCUAUCUCAUAUGAUGGAGGCAAACUCUAUGGUGUUGCUUAGAAAUUCAAAGCUUGCUGCAUUGAAAUCCUUAAUAAUUGUCUUAACUAUCCAUGAGAAAGAUGUGAGUUAUCAGACUCUGAUUGCCUUCUGUUGCAUGCCUAAAGUGAAGUUUAGGGUCUGCAGCUGCUUUUCUUUAGUUGCAUUUUGAAAGUUAAAAAUUUAGGUUAUUUGGUGUGAAAAUAAUACGUGUAGUCUAUUCAUAAUCUGCCAGAGUUUGUAGUAACUAAAAGUCUUUUCAUAUUUCUUUGCAUUGGGUUGAGGAUUCUACAGUAAUUUCUGUACAUUUGUAAACACUACACAGUACUAUAUCAGCGUAAUUGACUGUGAAUAAGUAUCACUGUUUUGUAAUUACUUGUUAGUGCCCAAAUAACUUAAGGUCUAGAGUUUAUUACAUGUUUGAGCUCCAUAUUCUA
This is an RNA transcript of Humulus lupulus (European hop), 1650 nucleotides long. RefSeq lists it as uncharacterized. NCBI's taxonomy places the organism in Eukaryota, Viridiplantae, Streptophyta, Magnoliopsida, Rosales, Cannabaceae. The record is from RefSeq and is a predicted model, not a curated record. The transcript is spliced from 5 exons.